GAUGAACGCUGGCGGCGUGCCUAAUACAUGCAAGUCGAGCGAACAGAUGAGGAGCUUGCUCCUCUGACGUUAGCGGCGGACGGGUGAGUAACACGUGGAUAACCUACCUAUAAGACUGGGAUAACUUCGGGAAACCGGAGCUAAUACCGGAUAAUAUAUUGAACCGCAUAGUUCAAUAGUGAAAGACGGUUUUGCUGUCACUUAUAGAUGGAUCCGCGCCGCAUUAGCUAGUUGGUAAGGUAACGGCUUACCAAGGCAACGAUGCGUAGCCGACCUGAGAGGGUGAUCGGCCACACUGGAACUGAGACACGGUCCAGACUCCUACGGGAGGCAGCAGUAGGGAAUCUUCCGCAAUGGGCGAAAGCCUGACGGAGCAACGCCGAGUGAGUGAUGAAGGUCUUCGGAUCGUAAAACUCUGUUAUUAGGGAAGAACAAAUGUGUAAGUAACUAUGCACGUCUUGACGGUACCUAAUCAGAAAGCCACGGCUAACUACGUG
Molecule: ribosomal RNA, 497 nt
Filed under: uncultured bacterium
Lineage: Bacteria
Description: partial 16S ribosomal RNA
Rfam family: Bacterial small subunit ribosomal RNA
Source: RNAcentral